RNAcentral lists this ribosomal RNA (398 nucleotides) under uncultured bacterium. Its description in RNAcentral is "bacterial SSU rRNA". It matches the Rfam family "Bacterial small subunit ribosomal RNA", at positions 30 to 429 of the family's 1533-position model. The record is from RNAcentral.
AUUGAACGCUGGCGGCAUGCCUUACACAUGCAAGUCGAACGGCAGCACGGGAGCAAUCCUGGUGGCGAGUGGCGAACGGGUGAGUAAUAUAUCGGAACGUGCCCAGUCGUGGGGGAUAACGUAGCGAAAGCUACGCUAAUACCGCAUACGAUCUACGGAUGAAAGCGGGGGAUCGCAAGACCUCGCGCGAUUGGAGCGGCCGAUAUCAGAUUAGGUAGUUGGUGAGGUAAAGGCUCACCAAGCCGACGAUCUGUAGCUGGUCUGAGAGGACGACCAGCCGCACUGGGACUGAGACACGGCCCAGACUCCUACGGGAGGCAGCAGUGGGGAAUUUUGGACAAUGGGCGCAAGCCUGAUCCAGCAAUGCCGCGUGCAGGAUGAAGGCCUUCGGUUGUAAC